AGGGAAACAGCUCAGUGGUAGAGUGCUUGCUUAGCAUGCCUGUGGUCCUGGGUUCAAUCCUCAGUAUCUCCA
RNAcentral lists this transfer RNA (72 nucleotides) under Camelus bactrianus (Bactrian camel). It matches the Rfam family "tRNA". Rfam says of the family: Transfer RNA (tRNA) molecules are approximately 80 nucleotides in length. Their secondary structure includes four short double-helical elements and three loops (D, anti-codon, and T loops). Further hydrogen bonds mediate the characteristic L-shaped molecular structure. tRNAs have two regions of fundamental functional importance: the anti-codon, which is responsible for specific mRNA codon recognition, and the 3' end, to which the tRNAs corresponding amino acid is attached (by aminoacyl-tRNA synthetases). tRNAs cope with the degeneracy of the genetic code in two manners: having more than one tRNA (with a specific anti-codon) for a particular amino acid; and 'wobble' base-pairing, i.e. permitting non-standard base-pairing at the 3rd anti-codon position. Lineage: Eukaryota; Metazoa; Chordata; Mammalia; Artiodactyla; Camelidae. RNAcentral also lists the same sequence under 2 other names. The record is from Rfam by way of RNAcentral.